UACGGAGGAGGCAAGCGUUAUCCGGAAUUAUUGGGCGUAAAGCGUCCGCAGGUGGCGAUUCAAGUCUGCGGUCAAAGACUGGGGCUUAACCCUGGAAAGGCAGUGGAAACUACAUAGCUAGAGUAAGGUAGGGGUAGAGGGAAUUCCUGGUGUAGCGGUGAAAUGCGUAGAGAUCAGGAAGAACACCGGUGGCGAAAGCGCUCUGCUGGACCUUAACUGACACUGAGGGACGAAAGCUAGGGGAGCGAAUGGG
Molecule: ribosomal RNA, 253 nt
Filed under: uncultured bacterium
Lineage: Bacteria
Description: partial 16S ribosomal RNA
Rfam family: Bacterial small subunit ribosomal RNA
Source: RNAcentral